AAUGAACACUGGCGGCGUGGAUUAGGCAUGCAAGUCGAGCGGCAGCAGGCCCUUCGGGGCGCUGGCGAGCGGCGAACGGGUGAGUAACGCGUGAGCAACCUGCCCCAAAGUCGGGGUUAGCCCGGGGAAACUCGGAUUAAUACCUGAUGUGGCGUAGCUCUGUUGGGAGCUACAGCUAAAGGCUUCGGCCGUUUUGGGAUGGGCUCGCGUACCAUCAGCUAGUUGGUAGGGUAACGGCCUACCAAGGCAACGACGGUUAGGUGGUCUGAGAGGAUGGUCACCCACACUGGGACUGAGACACUGCCCAGACUCCUACGGGAGGCUGCAGUCGAGAAUCUUCCGCAAUGCGCGAAAGCGUGACGGAGCGACGCCGCGUGCGGGAUGAAGGCCUCGGGUCGUAAACCGCUGUCACCCGGGAUGACAACAGACAGUACCGGGCAGAGGAAGCCACGGCUAACUACGUGCCAGCAGCCGCGGUAAUACGUAGGUGGCGAGUGUUAUUCGGAUUUACUGGGCGUAAAGGGUUUCGUAGGGGGCAUGUCAAGUCCGGCGUGAAAGCCCGCGGCUCAACCGCGGAAUGUCGUUGGAAACUGACAAGCUAGAGGGCCGGAGAGGAAAGUGGAAUUCCUGGUGUAGCGGUGGAAUGCGUAGAUAUCAGGAGGAACACCGAUGGCGAAGGCAGCUUUCUGGACGGUACCUGACCUGAGGAACGAAAGCUGGGGUAGCAAAACAGGAUUAGAUACCCUGGUAGU
This 752-nucleotide ribosomal RNA is filed under the name uncultured bacterium. Its description in RNAcentral is "bacterial SSU rRNA". It matches the Rfam family "Bacterial small subunit ribosomal RNA", at positions 28 to 794 of the family's 1533-position model. The record is from RNAcentral.